RNAcentral lists this ribosomal RNA (332 nucleotides) under uncultured bacterium. RNAcentral's name for it is "bacterial SSU rRNA". It matches the Rfam family "Bacterial small subunit ribosomal RNA", at positions 568 to 898 of the family's 1533-position model. The record is from RNAcentral.
UAGGUAGGUGGUCUGAUUUGUCUAGGGUGAAAGCCUUGGGCUCAACUCAAGAAGUGCCCUAGAAACGGUCAGACUGGAGUCUCGGAGAGGGUCGUGGAAUUCCCGGUGUAGCGGUGAAAUGCGUAGAGAUCGGGAGGAACACCAGCGGCGAAGGCGGCGACCUGGACGAGCACUGACACUCAACUACGAAAGCGUGGGGAGCAAACAGGAUUAGAUACCCUGGUAGUCCACGCUGUAAACGAUGGGUACUAGGUUUGAUGGGUCUUGACCCCCGUCGAACCGGCGCUAACGCACUAAGUACCCCGCCUGGGAAGUACGGUCGCAAGACUAAA